This 238-nucleotide ribosomal RNA is filed under the name uncultured bacterium. RNAcentral's name for it is "partial 16S ribosomal RNA". It matches the Rfam family "Bacterial small subunit ribosomal RNA", at positions 100 to 334 of the family's 1533-position model. The record is from RNAcentral.
CGGAACGGGUGAGUAACGCGUGAGGAACCUGCCUCAAAGAGGGGGACAACAGUUGGAAACGACUGCUAAUACCGCAUAAGCCCACGGCUCGGCAUCGAGCAGAGGGAAAAGGAGCAAUCCGCUUUGAGAUGGCCUCGCGUCCGAUUAGCUAGUUGGUGAGGUAACGGCCCACCAAGGCGACGAUCGGUAGCCGGGCUGGGAGGUUGAACGGCCACAUUGGGACUGAGACACGGCCCAG